UACGGGGGGGGCAAGCGUUGUUCGGAAUUACUGGGCGUAAAGGGCUCGUAGGCGGCCAACUAAGUCAGACGUGAAAUCCCUCGGCUUAACCGGGGAACUGCGUCUGAUACUGGAUGGCUUGAAUCCGGGAGAGGGAUGCGGAAUUCCAGGUGUAGCGGUGAAAUGCGUAGAUAUCAAGUGGAACACCAGUGGCGAAGGCGAGUCCCUGGACAACUCCUGACACUGAGGCACGAAAGCUAGGGGAGCAAACGGG
RNAcentral lists this ribosomal RNA (253 nucleotides) under uncultured bacterium. RNAcentral's name for it is "partial 16S ribosomal RNA". It matches the Rfam family "Bacterial small subunit ribosomal RNA", at positions 524 to 776 of the family's 1533-position model. The record is from RNAcentral.